UUGACAUAUACAGGAAUGUUGUAGAGAUACAGCAGCCGCUUGCGGUCUGUAUACAGGUGCUGCAUGGCUGUCGUCAGCUCGUGCUGUGAAGUGUUGGGUUAAGUCCCGCAACGAGCGCAACCCUAUCAUCUGUUGCCAGCAUUUAAGGUGGGGACUCAGAUGAGACUGCCGGUGACAAACCGGAGGAAGGUGGGGACGACGUCAAGUCAUCAUGGCCCUUAUGUCCUGGGCUACACACGUGCUACAAUGGCCGGUACAGAGUGAAGCGAAACCGCGAGGUGAAGCAAAACGCAGAAAGCCGGUCUCAGUACGGAUUGGAGUCUGAAACUCGACUUCAUGAAGUUGGAAUCGCUAGUAAUCGCGCAUCAGCACGCCGCGGUGAAUACGUUCUCGGGGUUU
This 399-nucleotide ribosomal RNA is filed under the name uncultured Spirochaeta sp. RNAcentral describes it as "bacterial SSU rRNA". It matches the Rfam family "Bacterial small subunit ribosomal RNA", at positions 981 to 1382 of the family's 1533-position model. Lineage: Bacteria; Pseudomonadati; Spirochaetota; Spirochaetia; Spirochaetales; Spirochaetaceae. The record is from RNAcentral.